This 1130-nucleotide long non-coding RNA is filed under the name Spirodela polyrhiza (greater duckweed). Its description in RNAcentral is "long non-coding RNA (SPOL_LNC000042)". Lineage: Eukaryota; Viridiplantae; Streptophyta; Magnoliopsida; Alismatales; Araceae. The record is from RNAcentral.
UGAAAAUCUCACGUCAGAUCUUCUCAGGCGUAUCCGGGCCCAUAUGCGACAAAAAGCCGAGCCGGCAGUGGAUAACACAGGCGCAGCGCUAGUCUCACAUCUCGAACAGAGAGAAAGUGGGGGAGAGAGAGAGAGAGAGACGCACACAGACACACAGACAAACAGGCAGAAAGGAUGUAGAGAGAGAGAGAGAGAGACGUACAAAGACACACAGACAAACAGGCAGAAAUGAUGUAGAGAGAGAGAGAGAAUCUAUUCUCUCACUUGCAGGGAGGGAGGGGGCUCCCGCAGAGGCACCGAUUGUGGAAGAACUCGUACUGGGUGAGGGUGGACAGGAAGCCGCCCCGAGGGAUCGGGCCGCAGAGGCGGUUGUAGCUGACGUUGAAGGAGCUCAGGUUCUUGAGCUUGGUCAGCUCCGGCGGGAUCUUCCCGUAGAUCCGGUUGUGGUUGAGGUCCAGGCCGCUGAUGUUGCGGAUGACCGCCGCCUUGGACAGGUCGAACUCCAGCUGGUUCCGGCUGAGGUCGAUGGACGUCCAUUUUCCGCUCCCCGCGAACAGCGCCGACGGGUCGCCGGUGAGCUGGUUCCUCGACAGAUCGAUCUGCGUGAUGUUCAGCCGCGCGAAGGACUGCGGGAUAGCGCCGGUGAGGUUGUUGUGGCUCAGCCGGAUGUAGAGGUCCGGCUGCGGGAGCUUGCCGAGGGCCUCGGGGAUGGGUCCGGAGAGCUGGUUCCGGUCGAGGAAGAGCGCCCCCAGCUGGGGGAGGUCGCCCAGGGAGGGCGGGAUAGCGCCGGAGAGCUUAUUGAAGGAGAGGUUGAUGUACUCGAGCUUGGCAAGGCGGCCGAGGAAGGCCGGGACGGGGCCGGUGAGGCCAUUCCAGUCCAUCCACAGCAUCUUCAGGCGGGUGAGCUUGGCGAGCUCCGGCGGGAAGGGCCCGGUGAGGUUGACGGAUUUGCGGAAGAUGAGUUUCUCCAGGUAGGGGAGGUCACCAAUGGACGGCGGGAGCUUGAUGGGCCCGGGGGUCUCCAUGCCGAGAAUGACAACGGCGGUGACGCGGCCGGUGGAAGGGUUGCACUCGGUGGCGUACCACUCGCCGCAGCAGUCGGUGCUGGCGGUCCAUGAGAUGAUAGUGUA